RNAcentral lists this ribosomal RNA (497 nucleotides) under uncultured bacterium. RNAcentral's name for it is "partial 16S ribosomal RNA". It matches the Rfam family "Bacterial small subunit ribosomal RNA", at positions 28 to 507 of the family's 1533-position model. The record is from RNAcentral.
GAUGAACGCUGGCGGCGUGCCUAAUACAUGCAAGUCGAGCGAACAGACGAGGAGCUUGCUCCUCUGACGUUAGCGGCGGACGGGUGAGUAACACGUGGAUAACCUACCUAUAAGACUGGGAUAACUUCGGGAAACCGGAGCUAAUACCGGAUAAUAUAUUGAACCGCAUGGUUCAAUAGUGAAAGACGGUGUUGCUGUCACUUAUAGAUGGAUCCGCGCCGCAUUAGCUAGUUGGUAAGGUAACGGCUUACCAAGGCAACGAUGCGUAGCCGACCUGAGAGGGUGAUCGGCCACACUGGAACUGAGACACGGUCCAGACUCCUACGGGAGGCAGCAGUAGGGAAUCUUCCGCAAUGGGCGAAAGCCUGACGGAGCAACGCCGCGUGAGUGAUGAAGGUCUUCGGAUCGUAAAACUCUGUUAUUAGGGAAGAACAAAUGUGUAAGUAACUAUGCACGUCUUGACGGUACCUAAUAAGAAAGCCACGGCUAACUACGUG